RNAcentral lists this long non-coding RNA (1480 nucleotides) under Monodelphis domestica (gray short-tailed opossum). Its description in RNAcentral is "lncRNA (ENSMODG00000050664.1)". The record is from RNAcentral. Lineage: Eukaryota; Metazoa; Chordata; Mammalia; Didelphimorphia; Didelphidae.
GGAGGAAGGAAGGGAGGGAGGGAGGGAGGAAGGAGUAAGGAAGGAAGGAAGGAAGGAAGGAAGGAAGGAAGGAAGAGGAAGGAAGGAAGGAAGGAAGGAAGGAAGGAAGGAAGGAAGGAAGGAAGGAAGGAAGGAAGGAAGGAAGGAAGGAAGGAAGGAAGGAAGGAAGGAAGGAAGGAAGGAAGGAAGGAAGGAAGGAAGAAGGAAGGAAGAAGGAAGGAAGGAAGGAAGGAAGGAAGGAAGAAGGAAGGAAGAAGGAAGGAAGGAAGGAAGGAAGGAAGGAAGGAAGGAAGGAAGGAAGGAAGGAAGGAAGGAAGGAAGGAAGGAAGGAAGGAAGGAAGGAAGGAAGGAAGGAAGGAAGGAAAGAAGAAAUAUUUCUGUUAUAUUAAGAAUAUGCAAAUAUUCUAUUUGGUUUUUGUUGAUUUCAGAAUUUUUUUUAAGUUGAGAUUUUCCUUGUUAUCUUACUUUUUGGUUACUUAAUUUCUCCUUGAUUUUUUUUUACCAUAUUCAAACUUUCUGGGUAUCUAUUUUGGUAUAAAAACUUUUUAAUGAAAUUAACUUCUACUGGAAAAAAGUUUUUAGGUCUGUGCAAAUGUUUAGUCAAGGAAAUUGUCACUCAUAUCUAACUUGGAACUUUUCAGCUGUAUUUAAAGCUCACUUUCUCUUGGUUUGUUCUUAGAGAAUAGAUUGUCCCAAACCUCUGCUUGAUCAAUCUCAGAUUGCUAUUGAUUUCAAAUUGGCAUCUGGUGACAGAGAGCAUGGCACAGUAGGUAGCCAGCUUUAAAGUCAGGAAGACCUGGGUUUGUUUUUUAGUUCUGGCAUAUUUUGGCUACAUGACCCUGGGAAAGUCACUUAAUCCUUCAAUGAUCUGGGCAGUUCUCCUAAUCAAGAUGUUACAGAUGAGGUUCUGACCAGUAUUGGUGGGGGGCAUUUCCUCAUCUCCUUCCUUAUACUCUUGAAAUUACAUUUUAGACUCUAUCCUGUAUCUUCUGACAGAAUGUGACCAACAUGGUAGUGAACCUAAAAACACUGAAGAAAGUCAUAACUUAUGCCUUGUUCAAUUGGUGGCGAGCAGAAGACUGUUACAAACCUAAAUAAUGGAUCACAGUGGCUAUGUAAUGACAAGGCAAAAUACUGAUAAUUAAAUGAUUUUAAUAGUGUGUCAAGAUGAAGGAUAACAGUCUUGGAAAAUGAGGCUGGUAAAUUAUUAUCCCUCAGGCUUGUACCACACAUCCUAGUUCAGGCGUGAAAGAUGCAGUAUGCAAAAUCUUCAUCCAUACAUUUUACUUUAACACAAUGUUAGCACCCACUGUAUUAGGGUUACUUACUUCUGUAGCACAGCUGUGCUACAUUCUCAGCCUUUAGGCAAAUGGAUAGUUAGCAUCAAAUUUAUCUAAAAAGAAGAAGAGUUUUAAAAUAUGCCCAUAGGGAGCAUUAACUCUGACAUUACCAGAAACUCCAAAAUUAACUACCUCCUGAG